CCGGGUAGCGGCGCCGCUCCGGUGGGUGUGAACUAGUGGGGGCAUCAUUUCCUGACACUUCCAGGUGGGCCGGGGCCCCUGCCUGUGCCCAGCCAGCCCCAAGGUGACUUCCAAGGAAGGACAAGGUGGGUCAGGGAAGGCUGGCGGGGAGGGGCUUGUAACCUCUGCGGAGGGGAGAGAAUGGGGGUGGAGGAGGUGGGUGGGGGGAAAUGUGGUCAAAAUGAGACUUACCUAAGUUAAACCUUGUUUUCCUCUUGAGUCACAGGAUCCUCUCGGAUCCUUUACUGUAAGUUCUCACCUGCAGUUAGCAGAGACUGCUCAAUACUUGAGUUUUGAGUCUUCUUUUUUUUCGUGCCACGUGCUGCUGGUGGGGGAGGGGUUGGAGUGGGGGUGGGGUUAGAGGUGGGAGGGGCCGCUUCAGGCCACCUGGGGCUCUUAGGGCGUGUCAAGGACCUUCGGGUAUCUUUCUACGUAGCUGGAAAGAAGGAAUGGAGGAGAGAGGACAGAGAUAGAGAGGGCGGCAGGCAGGAAGGACGAUGGAAAGAUGGAUGUGAAUAUGGAUAAUCUGUUCUGAUGACUUUCUUUUUCUCCUUUAAGCAGCUGUGUCCAAAGUGUAGUCUCGUUAAGCUGAUUCGAAGUGGGGAGGAGGACAUGCUGAUGUGACCCCAAGUUUACCUUUUUUUUUUUGUCUUUUUGUUUUUUUAGGGCCGUACCCAGUGCAUAUGGAGGUUCCCAGUGGGUUAAGGAUCCGGCGUUGCCAUGAGCUGGGGCUUGGAUCCCGAGUUGCUGUGGCUGUGGUGUAGGCCGAUGGCUACAGCUCCGAUUCAACCCCUAGCCUGAGAACCUCCAUAUGCCACAGGAGCGGCCCUUGAAAAGGCAAAAAGACAGAAAAAAAAAAAAAAAAGAAUCCAGCAUUGUUGUGAGUUGUGGUGUAGGUUGCAGACACUGCUUGGAUCUGAUGUUGCUGUAGCUGUGGUGUAGGCUGGCAGCUACAGCUCCGAUUAGACGCCUAGCCUGGGACCCUCCAUAUGCUAUGAGAGCGGCCCUAAAAGCAAAAAAAAAAAAAAAAAAAAAAAAAAAAAAAAUCUGGAUAAGGAGUUCCCAGUGUGGCUGAAUGAGGAUGCAGGUUUGAUCUUUGUCCUCACUCAGUGGGUUAAGAAUCCGGCAUUGCUGUGAAGUGUAGUGUAAGUUGCAGAUGAGGCUUGGAUCCUGCGUUGCUGUGGCUGUGGUUGUGGCUCAGGCCCCAGUUGCAGCUCUGAUUGGACCCCUAGCAUAGGAACUUCCACAUGCCACAGGUUUGAUGCUUAAA
RNAcentral lists this long non-coding RNA (1309 nucleotides) under Sus scrofa (pig). RNAcentral's name for it is "lncRNA (ENSSSCG00040037043.1)". The record is from RNAcentral. Lineage: Eukaryota; Metazoa; Chordata; Mammalia; Artiodactyla; Suidae.